RNAcentral lists this long non-coding RNA (501 nucleotides) under Vigna radiata. RNAcentral describes it as "long non-coding RNA (VRAD_LNC006146)". The record is from RNAcentral. Lineage: Eukaryota; Viridiplantae; Streptophyta; Magnoliopsida; Fabales; Fabaceae.
GGAAUGAAAAUGGGGAAAAACGAAAUGGAAACAUCAAGGACAAUGAACUGAACGAAAUUAGAUUGAGAGGAAAUGCAUUAACGAAAAUUAAUGUAAGCUUCAAUACAAAUUCGAAAAUCAAAAGAGAUGAACAAGAGAGAAAUGAACAAAAGCUAGAAUGAGCUCUCAAAUAAAGUUUAAAAUGAAGGAGAGUGGGAGAGUCUUUAGGGGUUUACCCCAUUUUUGCACAAAACCCUAGGCCAAAUUUCACUAAUGGGCCUCUCCAAAAGUNUCCAAAAACGGCCCAAACACUAAUUCUGCCCAAAAAUCCACUAAAACAAAAUUAUAAUUAAAUUCUAAACUAAAAUGAUGAUGUGACAAUUAAAGAAUGAUGUGGCAACUUCCUUGAUGUCCCAAAAUAAUAUUCCAACAAUUUUCCUGUAAUUAAUAAUGCAAAUAAUUAGUCUCGGAUAAUUCAAAUUAAUGAAAAUAAGAAUUUUUAUUCAAAUUAAGCACAAUUAC